Molecule: long non-coding RNA, 295 nt
Filed under: Ananas comosus (pineapple)
Lineage: Eukaryota; Viridiplantae; Streptophyta; Magnoliopsida; Poales; Bromeliaceae
Description: long non-coding RNA (ACOM_LNC024249)
Source: RNAcentral
AAGAUUUUCGCAUGGAAAACAGUUUUUAAAAAGUUUUUCAGCUUUUUGUAAUUCUAGUGUUUCAAAAUAAGUUUCUGGAUGGAAAACGAUUUCAAAUGAUAAAUAUACUUGCAUGUGCUGUGAUAAGGACGGUUAGCCAUAUGCUGUGAAAUGAAUGGGCUUUUGAUAUCCGUUUGUAUACUGUGCAUUGUAAUUGUGAGUAGAUGUUGUGGGUGUAACUUGUUGUAAGGAAGUGAAUUCUCGAAAUUCGAGAGCUGGACUUCGUUCAGAAUCGACUGAUUAUCGAAUGGGUAUG